Molecule: ribosomal RNA, 481 nt
Filed under: uncultured bacterium
Lineage: Bacteria
Description: partial 16S ribosomal RNA
Rfam family: Bacterial small subunit ribosomal RNA
Source: RNAcentral
GAUGAACGCUGGCGGCGUGCUUAACACAUGCAAGUCGAACGAAGCACUUUAUUUGAUUUCCUUCGGGACUGAUUAUUUUGUGACUGAGUGGCGGACGGGUGAGUAACGCGUGGGUAACCUGCCUUGUACAGGGGGAUAACAGUUGGAAACGGCUGCUAAUACCGCAUAAGCGCACGGCAUCGCAUGAUGCAGUGUGAAAAACUCCGGUGGUAUAAGAUGGACCCGCGUUGGAUUAGCUAGUUGGUGAGGUAACGGCCCACCAAGGCGACGAUCCAUAGCCGACCUGAGAGGGUGACCGGCCACAGUGGGACUGAGACACGGCCCAAACUCCUACGGGAGGCAGCAGUGGGGAAUAUUGCACAAUGGGCGAAAGCCUGAUGCAGCGACGCCGCGUGAGCGAAGAAGUAUUUCGGUAUGUAAAGCGCUAUCAGCAGGGAAGAUAAUGACGGUACCUGACUAAGAAGCACCGGCUAAAUACAUG